This 832-nucleotide long non-coding RNA is filed under the name Gossypium barbadense (sea-island cotton). RNAcentral describes it as "long non-coding RNA (GBAR_LNC015851)". Lineage: Eukaryota; Viridiplantae; Streptophyta; Magnoliopsida; Malvales; Malvaceae. The record is from RNAcentral.
CCCUUUUUUCUCUCUAAAAAAAACUGACACUUGAGGAUUUAAGGCCCCAUGUCGCGCCGGCCAACCGCCCGCCACACCACCACCAUAUUCCGACGGUCGGCGAGGCUCACGAAUGGGUUUUUAAAGUCCCUCCCCGGUGAGUUUCUUUUUUCUUUUUUUAUUUUUGUUUAAGCAAUAAAAAUGAAAAAAAAAUAAAAAAAACUAUGAUAAAAAUAAAAAGGAGAAAGAUUGAAAUCAGAGAAACCCGGAAAUCACCUUUGAUUUUUUUUUGCUUUUAUUUCUUUGAAAACUAUUACAGAAGAAGAAAAAAAAGAAGAAGCCCCUCCCUUUUUUUUACAAAAAACAAAUCGGUUCCCCCCUUGUUUUCGAUUUAGAAUGACUUUUUAUAUCAAGCCAUUUUACAAAUUUUUUUAUUUUUCUUUGCUUGUUGUUGCUGCUUUCUUUGUUUGUUUGCAGGUGAGCAGUUGGACGGUGGCAGAGAGCAGGUGGCCACUUGCGCUAUGAAGCGACGGUGGCGGCGCUAGGGCAGGCUAGGGACGUGCGGCGCAUUGGCUAGGCUAGGCUAGGGUUUCAGAAAACUGAAACCCUAGGUUGACUAUUGGAAAUUUAGGUUGGUAGGGCUUUGGGUAGUUGGGCCGGUGCAUUUGGGCUUCGGGUUUUGGGCCAGUGUUUAGGUGGGUUGAGUUUGGGUUAUUUUGGGUUUGUUUAAGAUGGGUUUGUAAUGGGCCGGGCAAAAUGGGCUUGUACAGAGACGAUUAUGCCUAUUUAUAGAUUUAAAAACCUUGUUCUAAUUAAAGUCAAAUAGAAGUUUACUUCUAUAGAAAGAGUUUCC